This 1145-nucleotide long non-coding RNA is filed under the name Cricetulus griseus (Chinese hamster). Its description in RNAcentral is "lncRNA (ENSCGRG00015032321.1)". The record is from RNAcentral. Lineage: Eukaryota; Metazoa; Chordata; Mammalia; Rodentia; Cricetidae.
UGUCCUUUCAAUAGCUUCAGUAGUAUCCUGAUGUCAUUAAAAGGCCACAGGUGGCACUGGAGAUGUGGUUGGACGAGAGAAUGGGUGCUUAGCAUACACAAAGCUCUGCUUUUGUUCCACAGAAGCAUGUAGAGGGAGCAGAGGUUUUCUAUUCUUUUCACAGCUUAAAGGCAAAUAUAGAUGGAUAAGCAAACAGAGGUCACUAUUGCCUUCACAGCCAAAGCGGCUGUGUGAGAUAUAUGUGGAGAUGCUGGUUGGAGCCAUUUGAUGGCAUUCAGCUUUGUGUGUCCCCCAAGGAGAAGAAAGAAUCCUCCAGCAGGUCUGGGUUGUGCUUCUGGCCGUACAACAUCUGUGGAGAAGAAGGAUGUCAUGUGGAAUUUACAACAGAUCCUAAUGGGAGAGUCUCCCUAUCGAUACCCAAGAUUGUGGAGAUGUACAGAAAUUAUGCACCCGCUGAAAGCCAAAUCUUGGCAUAGUCUUGGAACCUGAUUUCCCCUACCUGGCAUGUGCCAUCAGGUAGCCAUCAACCAGAAAUAACCUGGCAGGCUGGAUUCUGUCUGACUACCAAGUUAGGAAGGCUGAAGGGUUCAUAAACAAUCAAUUAUAUGAAAGAAGUGAAACAGAGUGUAGCAACAGGCAUGGGACCAAGAAUUCCCUUUUAAAAGUACAGCUGAAGGAGCCCCGCUCAGUCCCAAAGUGGCCUGGAUGACUUCCCCUUUUGUUUGCCAGAGCCAAAUCGAUCUUUUGUGACUUUGCUCUGCUCAUGUUACUUUACAAUCCAGCUUGGAGCUGUUUCUCCACGAUUUAGCUAUUUCUACAUUUGUUUUGUUUUUCAGUGCUGCCUAGCACCUGCCAACUUAUUUUUAAAACUACAGAAUUCCUGUUUGAAAAAUGAAGUAUGCAUGUAGAAGUGUGCUGUGCCCUGACUUUCAACAUAAUUUGGAACCCAAGAGAAAGGGACAUUAUCCUGAAAGUUUUAGUACUUCAGGACUUAGAAAAUCCAUAUUUGGCCGGGCGUUGGUGGCACACACCUUUAAUCCCAGCACUUGGGAGGCAGAGGCAGAUGGAUCUCUGUGAGUUCAAGACCAGCCUGGUCUACAAGAGCUAGUUCCAGGACAGCCUCCAAAAGCCACAGAGAAACCCAG